ACGUCGAGUGGCGAACGGGUGAGUAACACGUGGGUGAUCUGCCCUGCACUUCGGGAUAAGCCUGGGAAACUGGGUCUAAUACCGGAUAGGACCACAUUUUGGAUGGUGUGGUGGAAAGUUUUCGGUGUGGGAUGAGCUCGCGGCCUAUCAGCUUGUUGGUGGGGUAAUGGCCUACCAAGGCGUCGACGGGUAGCCGGCCUGAGAGGGUGUACGGCCACAUUGGGACUGAGAUACGGCCCAG
This 241-nucleotide ribosomal RNA is filed under the name uncultured Actinomycetales bacterium. RNAcentral describes it as "partial 16S ribosomal RNA". It matches the Rfam family "Bacterial small subunit ribosomal RNA", at positions 88 to 334 of the family's 1533-position model. The record is from RNAcentral. Lineage: Bacteria; Bacillati; Actinomycetota; Actinomycetes; Actinomycetales.